Molecule: ribosomal RNA, 497 nt
Filed under: uncultured bacterium
Lineage: Bacteria
Description: partial 16S ribosomal RNA
Rfam family: Bacterial small subunit ribosomal RNA
Source: RNAcentral
GAUGAACGCUGGCGGCGUGCCUAAUACAUGCAAGUCGAGCGAACAGAUGAGGAGCUUGCUCCUCUGACGUUAGCGGCGGACGGGGGAGUAACACGUGGAUAACCUAGCUAUAAGACUGGGAUAACUUCGGGAAACCGGAGCUAAUAACGGAUAAUAUAUUGAACCGCAUGGUUCAAUAGUGAAAGACGGUUUUGCUGUCACUUAUAGAAGGAUCCGCGCAGCAUUAGCUAGUUGGUAAGGUAACGGCUUACCAAGGCAACGAUGCGUAGCCGGCCUGAGAGGGUGAUCGGCCACACUGGAACUGAGACACGGUCCAGACUCCUACGGGAGGCAGCAGUAGGGAAUCUUGCGCAAUGGGCGAAAGCCUGACGGAGCAACGCCGCGUGAGUGAUGAAGGCCUUCGGAUCGUAAAGCUCUUUUAUUAGUGAAGAACAAAUGUGUAUGUAUCUAUGCUCCUCUUGACGGUACCUAAUCAGAAAGCCACGGCUAACUCCGUG